UUAAGCGACUAAGCGUACACGGUGGAUGCCCUGGCAGUCAGAGGCGAUGAAGGGCGUGCUAAUCUGCGAUAAGCGCCGGUAAGGUGAUAUGAACCGUUAUAACCGGCGAUACCCGAAUGGGGAAACCCAGUGUGAUUCGUCACACUAUCAUUAACUGAAUCCAUAGGUUAAUGAGGCGAACCGGGGGAACUGAAACAUCUAAGUACCCCGAGGAAAAGAAAUCAACCGAGAUUCCCCCAGUAGCGGCGAGCGAACGGGGAGGAGCCCAGAGCCUGAAUCAGCAUGUGUGUUAGUGGAAGCGUCUGGAAAGGCGCGCGAUACAGGGUGACAGCCCCGUACACAAAAGCGCAUGUGCUGUGAGCUCGAUGAGUAGGGCGGGACACGUGGUAUCCUGUCUGAAUAUGGGGGGACCAUCCUCCAAGGCUAAAUACUCCUGACUGACCGAUAGUGAACCAGUACCGUGAGGGAAAGGCGAAAAGAACCCCGGCGAGGGGAGUGAAAAAGAACCUGAAACCGUGUACGUACAAGCAGUGGGAGCACAGGUUUACCUGUGUGACUGCGUACCUUUUGUAUAAUGGGUCAGCGACUUAUAUUCUGUAGCAAGGUUAACCGAAUAGGGGAGCCGGAGGGAAACCGAGUCUUAACCGGGCGUUAAGUUGCAGGGUAUAGACCCGAAACCCGGUGAUCUAGCCAUGGGCAGGUUGAAGGUUGGGUAACACUAACUGGAGGACCGAACCGACUAAUGUUGAAAAAUUAGCGGAUGACCUGUGGCUGGGGGUGAAAGGCCAAUCAAACCGGGAGAUAGCUGGUUCUCCCCGAAAGCUAUUUAGGUAGCGCCUCGUGAAUUCAUCUCCGGGGGUAGAGCACUGUUUCGGCUAGGGGGCCAUCCCGGCUUACCAACCCGAUGCAAACUGCGAAUACCGGAGAAUGUUAUCACGGGAGACACACGGCGGGUGCUAACGUCCGUCGUGAAGAGGGAAACAACCCAGACCGCCAGCUAAGGUCCCAAAGUCAUGGUUAAGUGGGAAACGAUGUGGGAAGGCCCAGACAGCCAGGAUGUUGGCUUAGAAGCAGCCAUCAUUUAAAGAAAGCGUAAUAGCUCACUGGUCGAGUCGGCCUGCGCGGAAGAUGUAACGGGGCUAAACCAUGCACCGAAGCUGCGGCAGCGACGCUUAUGCGUUGUUGGGUAGGGGAGCGUUCUGUAAGCCUGUGAAGGUGUGUCGUGAGGCAUGCUGGAGGUAUCAGAAGUGCGAAUGCUGACAUAAGUAACGAUAAAGCGGGUGAAAAGCCCGCUCGCCGGAAGACCAAGGGUUCCUGUCCAACGUUAAUCGGGGCAGGGUGAGUCGACCCCUAAGGCGAGGCCGAAAGGCGUAGUCGAUGGGAAACGGGUUAAUAUUCCCGUACUUGGUGUUACUGCGAAGGGGGGACGGAGAAGGCUAUGUUGGCCGGGCGACGGUUGUCCCGGUUUAAGCGUGUAGGUGUGUGUUCCAGGUAAAUCCGGUUCACUUUAACACUGAGGCGUGACGACGAGGCACUACGGUGCUGAAGCAACAAAUGCCCUGCUUCCAGGAAAAGCCUCUAAGCAUCAGGUAACAUCAAAUCGUACCCCAAACCGACACAGGUGGUCAGGUAGAGAAUACCAAGGCGCUUGAGAGAACUCGGGUGAAGGAACUAGGCAAAAUGGUGCCGUAACUUCGGGAGAAGGCACGCUGACACGUAGGUGAAGUGAUUUACUCAUGGAGCUGAAGUCAGUCGAAGAUACCAGCUGGCUGCAACUGUUUAUUAAAAACACAGCACUGUGCAAACACGAAAGUGGACGUAUACGGUGUGACGCCUGCCCGGUGCCGGAAGGUUAAUUGAUGGGGUCAGCGCAAGCGAAGCUCCUGAUCGAAGCCCCGGUAAACGGCGGCCGUAACUAUAACGGUCCUAAGGUAGCGAAAUUCCUUGUCGGGUAAGUUCCGACCUGCACGAAUGGCGUAAUGAUGGCCAGGCUGUCUCCACCCGAGACUCAGUGAAAUUGAACUCGCUGUGAAGAUGCAGUGUACCCGCGGCAAGACGGAAAGACCCCGUGAACCUUUACUAUAGCUUGACACUGAACAUUGAGCCUUGAUGUGUAGGAUAGGUGGGAGGCUUUGAAGCGUGGACGCCAGUCUGCGUGGAGCCGACCUUGAAAUACCACCCUUUAAUGUUUGAUGUUCUAACGUGGACCCGUUACCCGGGUUGCGGACAGUGUCUGGUGGGUAGUUUGACUGGGGCGGUCUCCUCCUAAAGAGUAACGGAGGAGCACGAAGGUUGGCUAAUCCUGGUCGGACAUCAGGAGGUUAGUGCAAUGGCAUAAGCCAGCUUGACUGCGAGCGUGACGGCGCGAGCAGGUGCGAAAGCAGGUCAUAGUGAUCCGGUGGUUCUGAAUGGAAGGGCCAUCGCUCAACGGAUAAAAGGUACUCCGGGGAUAACAGGCUGAUACCGCCCAAGAGUUCAUAUCGACGGCGGUGUUUGGCACCUCGAUGUCGGCUCAUCACAUCCUGGGGCUGAAGUAGGUCCCAAGGGUAUGGCUGUUCGCCAUUUAAAGUGGUACGCGAGCUGGGUUUAGAACGUCGUGAGACAGUUCGGUCCCUAUCUGCCGUGGGCGCUGGAGAACUGAGGGGGGCUGCUCCUAGUACGAGAGGACCGGAGUGGACGCAUCACUGGUGUUCGGGUUGUCAUGCCAAUGGCACUGCCCGGUAGCUAAAUGCGGAAGAGAUAAGUGCUGAAAGCAUCUAAGCACGAAACUUGCCCCGAGAUGAGUUCUCCCUGAGACUUAGAGUCUCCUGAAGGAACGUUGAAGACGACGACGUUGAUAGGCCGGGUGUGUAAGCGCAGCGAUGCGUUGAGCUAACCGGUACUAAUGAACCGUGAGGCUUAACCUU
This 2906-nucleotide ribosomal RNA is filed under the name Salmonella enterica subsp. enterica serovar Dublin str. SD3246. Its description in RNAcentral is "23S ribosomal RNA". It matches the Rfam family "Bacterial large subunit ribosomal RNA". Lineage: Bacteria; Pseudomonadati; Pseudomonadota; Gammaproteobacteria; Enterobacterales; Enterobacteriaceae. The record is from RNAcentral.